RNAcentral lists this ribosomal RNA (31 nucleotides) under Pseudo-nitzschia delicatissima. RNAcentral's name for it is "partial 28S ribosomal RNA". Lineage: Eukaryota; Bacillariophyta; Bacillariophyceae; Bacillariales; Bacillariaceae. RNAcentral also lists the same sequence under 6 other names. The record is from RNAcentral.
CCGGAUCUCAGAUCAAGCAAGAUGACCCGCC